RNAcentral lists this ribosomal RNA (425 nucleotides) under uncultured bacterium. RNAcentral's name for it is "partial 16S ribosomal RNA". It matches the Rfam family "Bacterial small subunit ribosomal RNA", at positions 354 to 796 of the family's 1533-position model. The record is from RNAcentral.
GUGGGGAAUAUUGGACAAUGGGCGCAAGCCUGAUCCAGCCAUGCCGCGUGAGUGAUGAAGGCCCUAGGGUUGUAAAGCUCUUUCACCGAUGAAGAUAAUGACGGUAGUCGGAGAAGAAGCCCCGGCUAACUUCGUGCCAGCAGCCGCGGUAAUACGAAGGGGGCUAGCGUUGUUCGGAAUUACUGGGCGUAAAGCGCACGUAGGCGGGUAUUUAAGUCAGGGGUGAAAUCCCGGAGCUCAACUCCGGAACUGCCUUUGAUACUGGGUACCUAGAGUAUGGAAGAGGUAAGUGGAAUUCCGAGUGUAGAGGUGAAAUUCGUAGAUAUUCGGAGGAACACCAGUGGCGAAGGCGGCUUACUGGUCCAUUACUGACGCUGAGGUGCGAAAGCGUGGGGAGCAAACAGGAUUAGAAACCCCGGUAGUCC